GACGAACGCUGGCUGCGGGCUUAACACAUGCAAGUCGAACGGUGAACGAGGGAGCUUCCUCCCUCCGGAUCAGUGGCGAACGGGUGAGUAACACGUGAGCAAUCUGCCCCGAACUCUGGGAUAAGCGUUGGAAACCACGUCUAAUACCGGUUACGACUCGUGACCGCAUCCUCCCCGCGUGUAGAGAACUGCGGUUCGGGAUGAGCUCGCGGCCUAGCUACGUGUAGGUGAUGUAACGGCUCACCACGGCCACGACGGGUAACCGGCCUGAGAGGGUGACCGGCAACAGUGGGACAGAGACACGGCCGGGAGUCCUACGGGAGGCAGCAGUGGGGAAGAGUGCACGAUGGGCGCAAGCAGGAUGCAGCAACGCGGCGUGAGGGACGACGACCUGCGGGUUGUAAACCUCUUUUAGCAGGGAAGAAGAGAAAGUGACGGUACCUGAAGAAAAAGCACCGGCUAACUACGUG
This 470-nucleotide ribosomal RNA is filed under the name uncultured bacterium. Its description in RNAcentral is "partial 16S ribosomal RNA". It matches the Rfam family "Bacterial small subunit ribosomal RNA", at positions 28 to 507 of the family's 1533-position model. The record is from RNAcentral.